CAACUCUAUGUUCUAGAAAGUUUGAUUUUUGCACUUAAUAACCAUAUCCAACUAAUUUUUGGAGGUCGGGAUUUGAUAUUGCCAAUGUACACAUCAUGACCUUUCAUUUAAUAUACAACAACCCUAUCUUAAAAGAAAAUUUAUUUUUUGCACUCAAUGACCCCAUCCAAACCAUUUUUGGGAGACGUCAAUUUUAAAUUUGAAAUGUACGCUUUAUGUUCUUUCAUUUGAUAUGCGACAACCUUACCAUCUAAGAAAUUUGAAUGUUUGCACUAAAUGACCCCACCCGUCCUCCUGGGAUGAAAAGGGGGUUUAAAAUUUUCAUUUUUAAGUAGAGUUUAUUAAGACCUUCAAUUUGAUAUAUCAGAUGACCCCAUUUGACAAAGUGCAAAAAAUGAUGCAAUAUCAACUAUAUAAAUAGAAGUUAUGAAACUUACAAAGUCAAUGCAAAACUUGAAAAUUUCAAAUUGAAUUUUUGGCGUUUUUUUCCAUGGAAUGUUUUUGGUAUUUGGUCAAACAUAUAACUAUGUUAACCUC
RNAcentral lists this long non-coding RNA (537 nucleotides) under Mytilus galloprovincialis (Mediterranean mussel). Lineage: Eukaryota; Metazoa; Mollusca; Bivalvia; Mytilida; Mytilidae. The record is from RNAcentral.